RNAcentral lists this unclassified non-coding RNA (873 nucleotides) under Hevea brasiliensis (rubber tree). Lineage: Eukaryota; Viridiplantae; Streptophyta; Magnoliopsida; Malpighiales; Euphorbiaceae. The record is from RNAcentral.
UUUUUUCUUUUUUUUUUUUUUCUCUUCUUUUCAUCCCUGUUGCCCAUAAAAGUAUACCUGCAACAAUUAGGUGAUGAGCUUAUCUUCAACUUUCCACAGCUCUCUUGAUAAAAGUUCAUUGUAUAAUCAUUUGAUUGUCAGCUUAACAAUUGGUACCAAAGCAACUAAACUUGAACAAUCGAUAUUUUAGACUUAAAGAAACUUUGCAUCCAUAGAUCUUGUGGAGGAAAGAAGUAUUUAUGGGAUUAAUUAGAUUUGCAAAAGAAGCAAUACCUUUUCGGGAAUGUCAAUUUUGCUUUUCCUAUUUCGGUUUCUUUUUUUCUUCAUUAGAUUAGUUUUAAUGCUUUAUAACUAAUUUUUGCUAUUAGAAAAAUGCAGUUUAGGUCUCCAAAUUACAAGCCUAGAGAAAUUCUUCUUUACUUUGAUCUUUUUAGGGAUAUAAGAAUGAUUCAAUAUAUGGAUUAAAUGUUCAUUAUGAAAUUUAAAAACAUAGUAUGUGUAAAAACUGUGUUGUUUGCUUCUGAACUUUCAGUGAUUUAAAGUCGUUUUGAUGACUUUCAUUUCAUUUAUUCUGAUUCAUUGCUUAGAUUAUGCUAGAGACUAUCUGAUAUCUCCACGUAGAUGAGAAAAUAUGAUUUUUAUUUAAUGCAUUCAGAUCUUAUGAUUAACUAUUUGGGAGAUUAUCUGAAAUCUCCAAGCUCAUCCACAUCCUGAUUCUGAUAGUAUAUGCCCAGAUUCUCUACUUUCUUUCUUCUCUCUUGUGCAGAAGAUUUCAUUUUUGAAUCACCUUUUGUGUGAUGCCCAAACUGAAGUUUCAGUUUUAAUUACACAUAUCUCUGCUUCCUUUUCAGGUCUGAAGUUGCUUACAUGAAG